GGUAACGCAGCUAACGCGUGAAGUAGACCGCCUGGGGAGUACGGUCGCAAGAUUAAAACUCAAAGGAAUUGACGGGGACCCGCACAAGCGGUGGAUGAUGUGGAUUAAUUCGAUGCAACGCGAAAAACCUUACCUACCCUUGACAUGGAUGGAAUCCCGAAGAGAUUUGGGAGUGCUCGAAAGAGAACCAUCACACAGGUGCUGCAUGGCUGUCGUCAGCUCGUGUCGUGAGAUGUUGGGUUAAGUCCCGCAACGAGCGCAACCCUUGUCAUUAGUUGCUACGAAAGGGCACUCUAAUGAGACUGCCGGUGACAAACCGGAGGAAGGUGGGGAUGACGUCAAGUCCUCAUGGCCCUUAUGGGUAGGGCUUCACACGUCAUACAAUGGUACAUACAGAGGGCCGCCAACCCGCGAGGGGGAGCUAAUCCCAGAAAGUGUAUCGUAGUCCGGAUUGGAGUCUGCAACUCGACUCCAUGAAGUUGGAAUCGCUAGAAUGGAGG
Molecule: ribosomal RNA, 500 nt
Filed under: Herbaspirillum sp.
Lineage: Bacteria; Pseudomonadati; Pseudomonadota; Betaproteobacteria; Burkholderiales; Oxalobacteraceae
Description: bacterial SSU rRNA
Rfam family: Bacterial small subunit ribosomal RNA
Source: RNAcentral